This 643-nucleotide ribosomal RNA is filed under the name Lichenothelia calcarea. Its description in RNAcentral is "bacterial SSU rRNA". It matches the Rfam family "Bacterial small subunit ribosomal RNA", at positions 359 to 1008 of the family's 1533-position model. The record is from RNAcentral. Lineage: Eukaryota; Fungi; Ascomycota; Dothideomycetes; Lichenotheliales; Lichenotheliaceae.
GGAUAUGGUCAAUAGCCUAAUGGCUGAACCAGCAACUUGGAGGAAUGUUAUCGACUAUGUCGGAUAAAGUUCUAGAUAGAAUAAUGAUGAUGACAAUUUUCUAUCUAUAUGUCUUGACCAAAUCUCGUGCCAGCAGUCGCGGCAAUACGAGGAAGACUAGUGUUAUUCAUCUUUAAUAGGUUUAAAGGGUACCUAGACGGUAUAUCUAGCCCCCCCCAAAGGGUACGGAUUGUACUAAAGUUUUAUGUGAGAGGUAUAUAUUAGUACUAUUGGUGUAAAGAUGAAAUUCUUUGAUACUAUUAGGACUGGUGGAGGCAAAAGCAACCCUCUAUGUAUAAACUGACGUUGAGGGACGAAGGCUUGGGUAGCGAAUAGGAUUAGAUACCCUAGUAGUCCAGGCAGAGAAUUAUGAAUGUCAUAGACUAGAUUGUGCAGAGCAUAUAGUUAUAAUUAAUAGUUAUAUGUCUUUUAUAUUUUGGUCUAUCAAUGAAAGUGUAAGCAUUCCACCUCAAGAGUAAUGUGGCAACGCAGGAACUGAAAUCAUUAGACCGUUUCUGAAACCAAUAGUGAAGUAUGUUAUUUAAUUCGAUGACCCUCGAAAAACCUUACCACAAUUUGAAUAUUAAUUUUAUUUAAUUAAUAC